This 23-nucleotide non-coding RNA is filed under the name Arabidopsis thaliana (thale cress). Lineage: Eukaryota; Viridiplantae; Streptophyta; Magnoliopsida; Brassicales; Brassicaceae. The record is from RNAcentral.
UAAGUUAUCGUUGACCCGGCCAA